CUAAUAAAGAUUUUGUACAUAUAAAGAAAUCAUUGUGAUCCAAGAAGAAGUUGUGAGCAUAGGAGGGCUCUCCCAGCCUGGUGCUCCCUGGGAGCAAAGGUCUGAUAAGAGAAGUGGGUGUCUGGCAAGCACUGAUAAAACAACUUCCAAAGUCUUUCAGUUGCUAGAUAGAUGGUCCUCAGUGGGUAAUGAAAAUAACUCUUUCUGGACACUUCCUAUCAUACGGUUUAGGAUUUGAUAAUUUCAUACAAUAUGUAAUUUAUCAUUUGGUUUUCUUCUAGCAGUGACCCACAGGCCUCAUUGGAAAAAGCAGAUCUACCUCUCUCUUUUGGCUUCUUAGUUGGCUUCUUCAAGGGAUACAGAGGUCACCAAAAUAGACCUGUGUCUCUUUUGCCAAGCCCUGAAGGCCUGCUGAGAAGCGCACAGGGAGCUUUGGCAGGAGCUGGCUGCCUUUGAGCUUGAACACGUGCUGCACUUUCUUCAGGAAGAGAAAUAGAAGUGAAUGUGAAGUCACUACUUGGCAACUUGGACAAGACAUGCAGCCACCACAGCUUGGACACUUCUGUGUACUUGUUUCAUUCUCUGUGACUUCCGUCUUUUGGCUUUAUGGGCAGUGGGUGAGUACUGCCCUUGUAUAAGCAUCUGACCCACAGAUCAUGUGAGCUCUGCUGUGUUGUUUCAUAGAGACAACCACUUUUGGUGGCAGCACAUUGCUUGUUGAUACAGCUAUGACAGCCAGAAAUGUAAAGAUUUAAUGAUACCAGUUAUUAAACUGCUCCUGCAAAAUUUCCU
Molecule: long non-coding RNA, 792 nt
Filed under: Manacus vitellinus (golden-collared manakin)
Lineage: Eukaryota; Metazoa; Chordata; Aves; Passeriformes; Pipridae
Description: lncRNA (ENSMVIG00005008311.1)
Source: RNAcentral